AUUGAACGCUGGCGGCAGGCCUAACACAUGCAAGUCGAGCGGAGCGGCGGAAGGGGGAGUAAUGCCUAGGAAGCUGCCUGGUAGUGGGGGAUAACGUCCGGAAACGGGCGCUGAUACCGCAUACUAUCAAAUGAAGCUAGGGCGGUCUAGCUAGUUGGUGGGGUAAAGGCGUACCAAGGGGACGAUUCGUAACUGGUAUGAGAGGAUGAUCAGUCACACUGGAACUGAGACACGUUCCAGACUCCUACGGGAGGCAGCAGUGGGGACUAUUGGACAAUGGGCGAAAGCCUGAUCCAGCAAUGCCGGGUGUGUGAAGAAGGUCCUCGGAGUGUAAAGCACUUUAAGUUGUGAGGCGUUACCAACAGAAUAAGCACCGGCUAACUUCGUGCCAGCAGCCGCGGUAAUUC
RNAcentral lists this ribosomal RNA (407 nucleotides) under uncultured bacterium. RNAcentral describes it as "partial 16S ribosomal RNA". It matches the Rfam family "Bacterial small subunit ribosomal RNA", at positions 30 to 526 of the family's 1533-position model. The record is from RNAcentral.